RNAcentral lists this non-coding RNA (18 nucleotides) under Arabidopsis thaliana (thale cress). Lineage: Eukaryota; Viridiplantae; Streptophyta; Magnoliopsida; Brassicales; Brassicaceae. The record is from RNAcentral.
UGGUCUAGUGGUAGAAUA